GCUUGUGCUUCCCAACACUUUCUUGUGUACUGUCGUGUAGCUCCCAGUUUUUCCACCUAUGUUCCUCAUCAUCACCCACUUUCCUCUUCCAAUUCGCACCUCACCAAAAUUUCCUCCCAAAUAUCUGAGCCUCUGGCUUGACUUGCAACGAUCAUGUCUUCGCACGUCAAAAAUGCUGCUGAUGGAGAUUUAGGGAAAGUGUUGGUUAGUCCCAAAUAAAGCGCCAAUCCAUUGGCAGAGCCGUCGCCCGCACCAUCACCAUCUUCGUCUACUUCCCCAGAUCUUGUUCUAUCGAAUUCAGGGAAGAGGAUCGACCAAGUUGGGAGAAAGAAGUACGUAAAACAGGUGACUGGCCGCCACAAUGAUACGGAGCUGCAUUUGGCAGCUCAAAGGGGUGAUCUCGCAGCUGUGAAGCAGAUACUCGAAGAUAUUCAUUCUCAAAUGGUGGGGAGUUUAAGUGGUUCGGAAUUCGACCAGGAGGUUGCAGAGAUCAGGGCAUCACUCGUAAGUGAGGGAAACGAGCUGGGAGAGACAGCGUUGUUUACUGCAGCAGAGAAGGGGCAUCUUGAUGUUGUUAAAGAGCUGAUCAAAUAUGCAAACAAGGAAACACUUGCCAAGAAGAAUAGGUCGUUGUUUGAUCCUCUGCAUAUAGCUGCAAGUCAAGGACACCAUGGUGAUUACAUAAUCUUCGAUCAAUUCAUACAUCUCCAUUCCAUCUGUUGCCAUUAUGGCUCGCAUUCGAUUGCCUCUCAUUAUGUUUGCCAAGCUACAUGUGGUAACCUAUUAUAACACGAUGGUGUUAAUUGUUUAAGCUCGUAAAUUGUUGAAAUCGGCAGAUUGCAACUCACAGGAGAAGAAUGCAGAGUGCAGAAAUUGAAGUGUGCAUGGAGAAAUCAGCACGCGUCAUGCAUGAACGUGAAGAUUAUAUGCAUGGAUGUGAAGUGAUAAUGUGGAAAAUAUCUACAUCCAGCUGGCGCUUAGCUGGAGUCUAGUCAGCAUGUGUGGAUGGAAGAAGAGUUAGUUAGUUAAGCUACAAAAUGUGUUAGUUUAGCUUAAGUAGUUUAGUAUAAAUAGCUCUUCUCUUAGCUUUGUAAAACAUGUUUUUGAGUGUGAUCAAUAAAGAUCUUCUCUCAAAUUUA
Molecule: long non-coding RNA, 1139 nt
Organism: Salvia splendens (bonfire salvia)
Lineage: Eukaryota; Viridiplantae; Streptophyta; Magnoliopsida; Lamiales; Lamiaceae
Exons: 2
Source: RefSeq, a predicted model, not a curated record